GGAGAGGUGGCUCAGCGGUUAAGAGCACUGACUGAUCUUCCAAAGGUUCUGAGUUCAAAUCCCAGCAACCCCA
Molecule: non-coding RNA, 73 nt
Organism: Rattus norvegicus (Norway rat)
Lineage: Eukaryota; Metazoa; Chordata; Mammalia; Rodentia; Muridae
Source: Rfam